CAGAGCCCAGAAAUCAGGUUUCGACUCAUCUCAGACCCUAGAGUCCAGGAGGAGCAGUUCUCUGACCAGGAGAAGGGUCCCGUCUCUCCAAGCAGCGGAUUGCUGUGUGAAGAGACGGCUUUGCAGCCCGUUGUGGAGAAGUACUGCCCCUGAACAGGAUGGAAGGCCACGUCCCGCCCCACAGCGUCCACCACGUCGCUCCGCCCACAGUGGCCGCGCUGGCAGAGCUGCGACAGCACGCAGCGCUCCACGUGGCGCCGGCUCAGAGGCAGGAAGGGGACAAAACGAGUGAUGAGCUUCUGCUGGAUGAUGCUGGACUGGAAGAAGCCGCCUGUGGAGACAAACUCCUGUCAGGGUCACGGGGCUGCUGGAGCCUAUCCCGGCCACUUGUGGGCGAAGGCAGGGAACACCCUGGCCAGGUCUCCAGUCUGUCACAGUACCACUGAUCACACCCAUCCACUCUCACACUCACACCUAGGGACAAUUAAGAGUCACCAAUGAACCUAUGCAGCAUGUUUUUGGACGGUGGGAGGAAGCCGGAGACCCCGUGGAGAAC
Oryzias latipes (Japanese medaka) is the source of this 556-nucleotide long non-coding RNA. RefSeq lists it as uncharacterized. The record is from RefSeq and is a predicted model, not a curated record. NCBI's taxonomy places the organism in Eukaryota, Metazoa, Chordata, Actinopteri, Beloniformes, Adrianichthyidae.